GAUGAACGCUGGCGGCGUGCCUAAUACAUGCAAGUCGAGCGAACAGACGAGGAGCUUGCUCCUCUGACGUUAGCGGCGGACGGGUGAGUAACACGUGGAUAACCUACCUAUAAGACUGGGAUAACUUCGGGAAACCGGAGCUAAUACCGGAUAAUAUAUUUAACCGCAUGGUUCAAUAGUGAAAGACGGUUUUGCUGUCACUUAUAGAUGGAUCCGCUCCUCAUUAGCUAGUUGGUAAGUUAACGGCUUACCAAGGCAACACUGCGUAGCCGACCUGAAGGGGGGACCGGCACCACUGGAAGUGGGAAAGGGUCCAGAAUCCUACGGGAGGCAGCAGUAGGGAAUCUUCCGAAAUGGGCGAAAGCCUGACGGAGCACCGCCGGGUAAGUGAUGAAGGUCUUCGGAUCGUAAAACUCUGUUAUUGAGGAAGAACAAAUGUGUAAGGAACUGUGCACGUAUUGACGGUAACUAAUCAGAAAGCCACGGCUAACUACGUG
RNAcentral lists this ribosomal RNA (497 nucleotides) under uncultured bacterium. RNAcentral's name for it is "partial 16S ribosomal RNA". It matches the Rfam family "Bacterial small subunit ribosomal RNA", at positions 28 to 507 of the family's 1533-position model. The record is from RNAcentral.